Molecule: transfer RNA, 67 nt
Filed under: Telmatobius chusmisensis
Lineage: Eukaryota; Metazoa; Chordata; Amphibia; Anura; Ceratophryidae
Description: tRNA-Ser
Source: RNAcentral
GAGUCUGAUUGGAAAAACGAGAACUGCUAAUUACUCGCUUCUAUGGUUCAAUUCCAUAGCAAACUCG